RNAcentral lists this ribosomal RNA (506 nucleotides) under uncultured bacterium. Its description in RNAcentral is "partial 16S ribosomal RNA". It matches the Rfam family "Bacterial small subunit ribosomal RNA", at positions 29 to 523 of the family's 1533-position model. The record is from RNAcentral.
AGUGAACGCUGGCGGUAGGCCUAACACAUGCAAGUCGAACGGCAGCACAGAGGAGCUUGCUCCUUGGGUGGCGAGUGGCGGACGGGUGAGGAAUACAUCGGAAUCUACUCUGUCGUGGGGGAUAACGUAGGGAAACUUACGCUAAUACCGCAUACGACCUACGGGUGAAAGCAGGGGACCUUCGGGCCUUGCGCGAUUGAAUGAGCCGAUGUCGGAUUAGCUAGUUGGCGGGGGAAAGGCCCACCAAGGCGUCGAUCCGUAGCUGGUCUGAGAGGAUGAUCGGCCACACUGGAGCUGAGACACGGUCCAGACUCCUACUGGAGGCAGCAGUGGGGAAUGUUGGACAAUGGGCGCAAGCCUGAUCCAGCCAUACCGCGUGGGUGAAGAAGUCCUUCGGGUUGUAAAGCCCUUUUGUUGGUAAAGAAAUCCAGCUGGCUAAUACCCGAUUGGGAUGACGGUACCCAAAGAAUAAGCACCGGCUAACUUCGUGCCAGCCGCCGCAGUAA